GAACUGGUAGCUUAGCUGGCUAAAGCAUCUGACUUUUAAUCAGAAGACCGUGGGUUCGAAUCCCACUCGGUUCA
This 74-nucleotide transfer RNA is filed under the name Aureispira anguillae. It matches the Rfam family "tRNA". From Rfam's summary of the family: Transfer RNA (tRNA) molecules are approximately 80 nucleotides in length. Lineage: Bacteria; Pseudomonadati; Bacteroidota; Saprospiria; Saprospirales; Saprospiraceae. The record is from Rfam by way of RNAcentral.